This is a long non-coding RNA of Mercenaria mercenaria, 326 nucleotides long. RefSeq lists it as uncharacterized. NCBI's taxonomy places the organism in Eukaryota, Metazoa, Mollusca, Bivalvia, Venerida, Veneridae. The record is from RefSeq and is a predicted model, not a curated record. The transcript is spliced from 4 exons.
UUGAUAUAAUUGUCAGUUGCAUCAACUUUAUAUAUCCACAUGUAUUUUAUUUUAUAUUGAAGGUGUUGACAACAUAAGAAUGUCUGAGAUUGUACUUGGAGAAGUUUGACUACAGACAAUCUGGCCAGCCUACACCAUCAUCUCCAGGGUCUCGGUCCUUGCUUGUAAAGAGAUGGGAGAAAUACUUGAAAGAGUGCGAUGACCAGUCCACUGUCAGUAUGGACAGCUCUGACUCGGAUUGUACUAGUGGAAAAGUUGAUGAUUCAGAAACUGACAAGACAGAAGACAUAUCAGUUCAAGGUAUUCAGGACAAGGUUCUUCAAGAG